This 343-nucleotide long non-coding RNA is filed under the name Homo sapiens (human). Its description in RNAcentral is "HSALNT0069853". The record is from RNAcentral. Lineage: Eukaryota; Metazoa; Chordata; Mammalia; Primates; Hominidae.
GUUAGUUAGGUGAGAAGGGGUGGGGACAUUAAUCCAAGUUGAGAAAAGCUGCAUUUGGAGAAACUAGGCAGGAUAGGAGCUCGACAUCAGCAGGUCUGACUGACUGGAACAGAAUAGUGAAGAGUUUGUGUUUGGAGAUUGCCAAGAAAAGGACACUAUUAUUCAGUUUCUAUUGGGCCAUGUCCAGGGACAAUAACGGACCAUGAAGAGAAAGAAGUCGCCUGCUUCCCCUUCCACCUUGAUCAUAAGUUUCCUGAAGCCUCCUCAGCCAUGCAGAAGUGUGACUCAUUGUUCCAUUUCCUGAUGUGUUGAAAGUUUAUGGCAGGGCACGGUGGCUCACGCC